CAUGUGGUUUAAUUCGAUGCAACGCGAAGAACCUUACCUGGGCUUGACAUCCCGAGAAUCUUCUGGAAACAGGAGAGUGCCCUUCGGGGAACUCGGUGACAGGUGGUGCAUGGUUGUCGUCAGCUCGUGUCGUGAGAUGUUGGGUUAAGUCCCGCAACGAGCGCAACCCCUAUUGUUAGUUGCCAUCAUUCAGUUGGGCACUCUAGCGAGACUGCCGGUAAUAAACCGGAGGAAGGUGGGAUGACGUCAAAUCAUCAUGCCCCUUAUGACCUGGGCUACACACGUGCUACAAUGGUUGGUACAACGAGUUGCGAGUCGGUGACGGCGAGCUAAUCUCUUAAAGCCAAUCUCAGUUCGGAUUGUAGGCUGCAACUCGCCUACAUGAAGUCGGAAUCGCUAGUAAUCGCGGAUCAGCACGCCGCGGUGAAUACGUUCCCGGGCCUU
RNAcentral lists this ribosomal RNA (444 nucleotides) under uncultured Smithella sp. RNAcentral describes it as "bacterial SSU rRNA". It matches the Rfam family "Bacterial small subunit ribosomal RNA", at positions 938 to 1382 of the family's 1533-position model. The record is from RNAcentral. Lineage: Bacteria; Pseudomonadati; Thermodesulfobacteriota; Syntrophia; Syntrophales; Smithellaceae.